This 451-nucleotide ribosomal RNA is filed under the name uncultured bacterium. RNAcentral describes it as "bacterial SSU rRNA". It matches the Rfam family "Bacterial small subunit ribosomal RNA", at positions 354 to 796 of the family's 1533-position model. The record is from RNAcentral.
GUGGGGAAUAUUGGACAAUGGGGGAAACCCUGACGCAGCAACGCCGCGUGAGUGAUGAAGGCUUUCGAGUCGUAAAACUCUGUCAAGUGGGAAGAACCUGAUAGAUAUUAAUACCAUCUAUCAAUGACGGUACCACUAAAGGAAGCACCGGCUAACUCCGUGCCAGCAGCCGCGGUAAUACGGAGGGUGCAAGCGUUAUUCGGAUUUAUUGGGCGUAAAGGGCGCGUAGGCGGUCUCUAAAGUCAGAUGUGAAAGCCCGAGGCUUAACCUUGGAAGUGCAUUUGAAACUUAGGGACUUGAGUAUGGGAGAGGGAAGUGGAAUUCCUGGUGUAGCGGUGAAAUGCGUAGAUAUCAGGAGGAACACCAGUGGCGAAGGCGACUUCCUGGACCAAUACUGACGCUGAGGCGCGAAGGCGUGGGGAGCAAACAGGAUUAGAAACCCUAGUAGUCC